RNAcentral lists this long non-coding RNA (2940 nucleotides) under Gallus gallus (chicken). Its description in RNAcentral is "lncRNA (ENSGALG00010007091.1)". The record is from RNAcentral. Lineage: Eukaryota; Metazoa; Chordata; Aves; Galliformes; Phasianidae.
CUUAAACAACUUUAAAGUGAUGUGGGAGAAGAGAUAUUUACUGAAAGAAACACUUCUUUCACCAAAGACUGUGAAAUCAUAGAAUGGCCUGGGUUGAAAAGGACCACAAUGAUCAUGUAGUUCCAACCCCCCUGCUACGUGCAGAGUCUCCAACCACCAGACCAGGCUGCCCAGAGCCACGUCCAGCCUGGCCUUGAAUGCCUCCAGGGAUGGGGCAUCCACAACCUCCCUGGGCAACCUGUUCCAGUGCAUCGCCACCCUCUGGGUGAAAAACUUCUUCCUAAUAUCUAACCUAAACCUCCCCUGUCUCAGUUUAAAGCCAUUCCCCCUUUUCCUAUCACUGUUGACUGUCGUAAACAGCCAUUCCCCCUCCUGUUUGUACUCUCCCUUCAAGUAUUGGAAGGCCACAGGGAGGUCUCCCCGGAGCCUUCUCCAAGCUAAAAUCCUAUAGCCUCUCAUACAAGUUGUAACAAUGAGUGCCAAUUAGCAACACUAAUAUUUUUCUUCUGUCACCUCCAGUUUCCCUAGGCAGCACCAGGUCCUUCAUUUGUAUGCCAGUGUGGAGAGAGUUCACUGGGACAUAUUUUAUGUUUCAGUACCUGAUUUACAUUUGGUCUGCCAUAAUAAAGGCCAGAUGAUCACCUCUAUUAUGCAAAUGAAUGCACGGAAACAGCGAGGAAGUCAGUAACUUAAAGUGGCAGAAGGAACAAGUGCCAUUCUGUUCUUCUCCCUAUCCUUUGACCUUUCAAUAGCUUUCUUGCUUGCAAUUUUGAAUUCAAGGGGAAGGCUUCAGCCAGCCAACUGGAAAGUGAUGAAUUAAGUUAAAAAUCAUUUUAUGCCACAGCUGACGCUCAGCUUACACAGGGAAAGGUACACUGGAGAUAUAAAAGGUGUUCAAUAAAUAGAAGCCUUGUUACAUUUGGGCUGUAGCGCACAUAAACUCUCAGUAGUUUAAAUAAGUUAGAAUAAGUUGGUUGUUAAGACAUUGAAAGGCUUAUUUUAAUGGAAUGGUUAGGGAGAGAAAUAUAAACAAUCUACAUGUCGCUAACAGGAAAAUAUACUUAAAACAGCAGAUUACCUACUGACAUUUAUAUCUUUUGUUGUUUUAUGUUUGUCUUUUUAGAGAUAUUUUAACACUGAAAUAAUUUGAUAUUUUCCUUUUUCCUUCACAAAAAAUCUCUUGGCCUCAUCUGAAAAUGUACCGUGUUAGGCACCAACAUGUCCAAAAGCAGAGAUUACACCUUAGGGUUCCAGAAUUGAUUCCAUUCACUGAAGUUAAAUAGCCAAGUCACCAAGAACCUCUGGAACAAUUACAGUCAUAACGGAAGAGGUUUUUCUGACCAGCAGAUCUGUAUAGAAUUGCUUAUCCAGAUUUCUUGUAGGAACUGUUCCCAUCUCACUAUUGGUGGAACUUGAGAUCUGUGGUUUCCAUCUCAGACUAAAAGAGGGACCUGUGCAUCUGAAACAUUCUUUUGUUACAUCUCAUCAACUUGAUGAGAAGAUGUUGCCUCUCCUCACAGACCUUGUCUGCACAACUACUGAGAGAAAAAAUAUGAGAUAGAAUGGCAGUAACUCACAAAUGGUUUAACCCAAAAGCCCUCACAGAAAAAAACUGCCCUUACAAUCAGCACAGGUUUUGCCUAGUCAGGUUUUGACGCUAGAUUUCUAACAUAAAGCCCCUCCUAGAAGAUCUGAAAUAUCUAAGUUUAAUCACUAUCAGAUGUAUGUACAAAACAGAACAAGGGACAAAAUUUGACCUUUUGGUGACUGACCUACUAACAAAAGCAAGGUCUUUUGGGAUUUACCUCUUCAUGCUCAUGGUGUGGGGCAACAAGCCAGUAUAACAUCUGCUUAGUAUUAAUUGCAAAGCAAAUGUACAAUGCUGACACCAUUAAUCAGUUUGUCCAAGUGAAUAAAAUGUCAAAAACCGAUGUAAGAAAGCUUGGCUUUAAAAGCAAACAUUUCAUACAGAUCUGCAAGGGUCCAUCUAAUGAUGGAUAAGUUAACCCUGGAGGAUGAAGAACGACUCCAGCCUAAUGUUAGAGGUGAAAUGUAUGUAAACCUAGCUAAUUACACAAAUACUGUUAAAAAUUAGAGGUAUGGGAACUAGUUCUACACAAAUCAAUCACCUGCUGUCGUUGCCACAAAUAUCAGUAUGUGAUGUUAAACAGAAUGAAUCAAAACAUUCUGUUUUGAGUGCUACCUGCAAGUUGCAAGCUGUGCCCUUAAAACUAAGUAUUUUACCUUCGCAGAACUCCUAAAAAGUAGGUAGCUUCCCCUUUCCCUGCCUGUGCUGGGCCACAGUACCUAAAGGACAGACAUUUGUCAGAAUUAAUCAGGUUAGUACAAAAGAGUGCAGCAGUACUUGAAAUCUGGGCUUAAAUUACAGAUGAAAACUGAGGAUCAGUCAGUAAAGGGUGCUAUUAUUCCCUCAUGUAAUGAGGAGUAGAACAUCUGUCAGGGAAGGAGGAGGUAGAGAACACAAACACAUGGAAGAUAGAGAUGGAAAAAAUCUCUGCUAGCCAGCUUUAAAAUGUAGGACUAAUUCUAUGGCUUCGUCAAAUCUGGUUUUAAAUUUUUAAGGCUUUUGUGCUUCCAAGAUUCCCUUUGGGAUAUGUUUCUGGACUGUAGCAUAUUUGAGAUUCAGUAUAUUUUUUCCUGAUGUGCUAUUUUUUUUUUUAACCUGAAUUUCUUCCCACAAUUACCAGCACACCCCUUCAUAACACAGUAAAAAUUCACCUCCCUCAUAAACUCUGUAGCAUUCACUACAGCGCUGCCUUUCUUUUAGGGUCAGAUUCCGUUAUAUCUUCUCAGAAUACUGUGCCUUGUACUAUAAAUUUUCCAUGCUGGAAAUCAUCAAAAUUAUUCAAGGGUAGGGCUCUAGUCUUAAAAAACAAAAUAGACAUUGUUGGAAGAGGCACAAUAUGUCUUGAAAGUAUG